This 221-nucleotide unclassified non-coding RNA is filed under the name Hevea brasiliensis (rubber tree). The record is from RNAcentral. Lineage: Eukaryota; Viridiplantae; Streptophyta; Magnoliopsida; Malpighiales; Euphorbiaceae.
CGACGCCGAUGAGAUUAACUUUCUGGCCAAGUGCAGCCCUGGCAUCUACUAUUUGAAGGAACUUGUAGUCAUCCCGGCUACUAUUGAGAUUCAUUUUCUGCAAGAAUUUCUGUAAUCUCUCUCCUUUAAGUUUGAUUUUGUGAAAAAAGCACGGUCACCGGAGUUAAGUCGGAGGAAUAGAGUGCUCGACGACGAAAUUUAGGGCGCCAAAAGGAAAGUGG